Molecule: long non-coding RNA, 1138 nt
Organism: Hemicordylus capensis (graceful crag lizard)
Lineage: Eukaryota; Metazoa; Chordata; Lepidosauria; Squamata; Cordylidae
Exons: 3
Source: RefSeq, a predicted model, not a curated record
AGAAGGGAGACCCCAGCAAGAGCCGCUGGAGGGAUGCCGUGGUGGGGCUGGACAGGGCCAGAUGCUCUCCCCCUGCUUAACCGAAAGGGCAUCACCGCUUUGCUGGGUGCCCCGUUGCUCAGUCCACAGGGGGACCUUGCCUCUCCAAGCAGACCGGGCUAAUCAUUACUUGACUUUUAUUUGAACAUCUGCGCCCUGCCUUUCUCCACAGGCCCCAAAGUGGCCAACCAAAACUAAAAUCCCAUAGAAAGCAAAAAGGUCAUUUCCCAAAGCGCCAUGAAAUGGGGCACACCCCACAUGCUGUGGGGGCAGAGCAGGCACUGGAAAACUACCACUAGAAGACAAACAACCCUGUUCAAAGCAGCCAUUGAGCAGCAACUGUUACCCAGCAACCAUCAAUGAUAGAACCCUGGCCCUGUUUGAGCAGGAAUAACUGUCCUUCUGGCCUUCCUCUUCCCUGGGGGUUACCAACCUCUCCUCCUGUGCCUUUCAAAGCAACCCAAGAAAAGUGUCAGGAGAUAAGGAUCAGAUGAGGAUCUGGGGCCCAAUUCUCAUUCAGCCUGAAGCUCCCUGGGGGGAAUUGGGGCCAAUCUCUUGCUAUCUACUGGCUUUUGGCCAAAGGCAUUCAAGACUCUACAGAAAUGGAAUGCGAGAACGCCUGACCUGAGAAAUUGACACAAGAUUGAGCGGAGGUGAAUGCACUGUUUAACGAGAAGAAGGCAGAUCACCAAAGACGGCGGGAGUCCUGUGAUGAGGUUGGGAGGUCGGGAGAAGCUAAGAAGAAGGAGAGAAGAGACUCUACAGUGGGAGAACCACUUUGGGAAGAGCAGGAUCAGCCCCUUUAUCAUUUCGGUUUGCCUCUUCUGCUGCACCUUCUUCAGUUCGACAGUAUGGCUUUUUUGGUAAUCUGGCGACCGGAACGAUACACUGUAAGUAUUCCAAAUGUGGCAAAAUACCAGGCUCUAGUUUCCCCAGGCACCAUGAAAUUGGGGCACACACCCCAUGCAGUGGGGACCGAGCAAGCCGUAAAAAAUGACUCCUCCUCUUCCUGGCCCCAAACCCAGAGCAGACUCGCCCACCAGCCCUGUUCAAAGCAGGCCUUGACCAGCCACAGUAAGCAUUGGAAGCCUGGCCCAGU